CCUGGUCCGUGAUGACUCUUUUCUUUGGAGACCGAGGGAUGAAUCCUGCGGAUAUGGGGCUGAGGCCAGGC
Molecule: non-coding RNA, 71 nt
Organism: Leptosomus discolor (cuckoo roller)
Lineage: Eukaryota; Metazoa; Chordata; Aves; Leptosomiformes; Leptosomidae
Source: Rfam